GACGAACGCUGGCGGCGUGCUUAACACAUGCAAGUGGAGCGACGAACCGGGGCUUGCCCCGGGGCAGAGCCGCGAACGGGUGAGUAACACGUGGGUAACCCACCCGAUGACCGGGACAACCCGAGGAAACUCGGGCUAAUACCGGAUGUGCUCCUUGACCUCGAGGUCAAGGCGUAAAGAUAGCUUCGGCCUUCGCAUCGGGACGGGCCCGCGGCCCAUUAGCUUGUUGGUGGGGUAAAGGCCUACCAAGGCGACGANGGGUAGCUGGUCUGAGAGGCGACCGGCCACACUGGGACUGAGACACGGCCCAGACUCCUACGGGAGGCAGCAGUGGGGAAUCUUGCGCAAUGGGCGAAAGCCUGACGCAGCGACGCCGCGUGA
RNAcentral lists this ribosomal RNA (381 nucleotides) under uncultured bacterium. RNAcentral describes it as "bacterial SSU rRNA". It matches the Rfam family "Bacterial small subunit ribosomal RNA", at positions 28 to 404 of the family's 1533-position model. The record is from RNAcentral.